AUACGGAGGGUGCAAGCGUUAUCCGGAAUCAUUGGGUUUAAAGGGUCCGCAGGCGGUCAAUUAAGUCAGAGGUGAAAUCCCGUCGCUCAACGACGGAACUGCCUUUGAUACUGGUUGACUUGAGUUAUACGGAAGUAGAUAGAAUGUGUAGUGUAGCGGUGAAAUGCAUAGAUAUUACACAGAAUACCGAUUGCGAAGGCAGUCUACUACGUAUAUACUGACGCUCAUGGACGAAAGCGUGGGGAGCGAACAGGAUUAGAAACCCGAGUAGUCC
This 274-nucleotide ribosomal RNA is filed under the name uncultured bacterium. Its description in RNAcentral is "partial 16S ribosomal RNA". It matches the Rfam family "Bacterial small subunit ribosomal RNA", at positions 523 to 796 of the family's 1533-position model. The record is from RNAcentral.